Molecule: RNA transcript, 2566 nt
Organism: Eupeodes corollae
Lineage: Eukaryota; Metazoa; Arthropoda; Insecta; Diptera; Syrphidae
Exons: 9
Source: RefSeq, a predicted model, not a curated record
CAAGUGACAGCUACAACACAAAAUAAACAACAUCCAACGAGUCAACAAGUUUUGGGAUUGAGGAUGCGGUUAAUGGAAGGCAUCCACAACAAAAUUUGCUGUUUAUUGAGAUAUACUCUCAAUAAAAAGCAAAAAACAAGGAUUCUGGAUGCCUGGGAAAUGGAAUGGGAUUCGGAUGAAGGCGAGGAACUGGUGGUACAAGGGAUGCUGAGAUGGAUUAAGGGAGUUUUUUGAUAAUUGUGGGGAAAAACCCACGAUUUAGGCCGGGCAAACUUUUGUACUACCAUUAAGUAGAGGAUUUUGUUGAAACCCCUAUCUGCUGGAGCGUCUGGUGUACCAAAGUUAAGGAUGCUGGGAGGUACACUUCUAGAUAUGUGGAUCGGAGGUGCUCGUCAGAGAUUUGCGAGAAAAAACCGAGCUAGUACCUAUGUCCUCUAUUAAGCCUAAAGUGAAUCCUGCUAUGCAACGAAUCAACACUUAUCAUUAAUGUCCCCCAUCUCUAUCCGCCACCACUACGAAUUUCUACGUUACAUCAUACAAGUGAUUGUUGAGAGGGGUUUCCAUCACUCCAUCAGCGGAGGUGGAAUUUUUAAAAUCUAUUGGGGGUUCUGAUUUGGAUUGGCACGCGAUUCCCCCGUACCCUUCGCGUCCCGAAACCGGUUUCCCUGAUUGCAUCGUGGGCAACGUGGAGUUAUUACACCUUCUUGACCACACUUGUAGCAAAACACGUUUCGCACAUCAGACUCACAAUCAAAGUAAGUAUGGCCCUGCACUCUGCAGUUCCAACAUUCUAAUUUUGUAGGGUCCGCGUAUUUGCGAGGCGAAAUUUUUGGUCGAGCCGUACCAAACUGAUAAGCAGCAAGCUGUUCAUCCGUCGGUUGGUACUCCUCUUCCAAUUCCAGUUCAUUGACCGGAUAUUUGCCUGGUGGUUUGGCAAAGGUUUUUGGCAAUUCCUUCCUCGGAAAUGCCACUUCUGCAUCCUUGCACGCAGUCCUCAGCUGAUCCGAGGUAAAGAUGGCCUGUGGGUAAACUAAUUUCCCUAUCCUUUCAUUGAGAUUUCUUUUCAGAAUUCGGACCAUCUCUACAUCCGGUAUUGGGACCCUUAAUUGGAAUUUCAUCCUGUUUAUUGCCAUGAAGAAAUCUUCACUACUCUCCCAGGAAUGCUGCUUGCGAUCCAUGAUGUCUCGGAUUAUCUCGAAGUCUGAGCGAGUAUUCCUAUACUGACGCAGCAAGGCAUCCUUCAAAGCUGGCCAGUCAUGACGGUAAUUUGUCCGCUGAAACUGCCAGUACCACUCGGUGGCAUUUCCUGAGAGAAGUAGAUGAAAAUCCCUUAACACUUCGCCCCAGGAACAUCUAUGCUUGUUCCGCUGGAUCUCAACCCGAAGAACAAAAUCCUCAGCGGUCAUAGUCGUUGGUUGGCCAUCGAACUUCAAGCCCCAUCUAUCCAAUCUUAUUGGACCCUGGGGUCUCGGAUGCUGAGUUGGACCAUAGUACUCCGGUUGGUAGCCGUAUGGGUUAGGAGUUCGCAUAGGGUAAGAGUUGGCAUACGGAUCUGACGGGAUUUCCUCAUACCCAGCGGGAAGAUUACCCCUAUCUUGAGGUCUUCUCGUCGGGUCAUGUAUUCGGCGACUCGGUUGAUUAACCGGUACAAAAGCGCUUUCACCCGGAUCAACUGGAGGAUACUGCUGCACUGGUGGCUGGGUCGCCGGCACGGGUCUAGGCAUCUGAUCGGUAGAAGAUUGAUUCGUUGGCCCAAUGUUUAAAUUCCUAAGGAAUUCACCAAGUUGAUUUUGGAUUUCACUCUUUAAGAAGGAGGUGGUCUUUGAGCUAGGCUCUCUAAAAUGUUCCUGGUACUACCUGAGCCAACUGCCUGGACUGAUACUGGCCUAUUACUAGUAUCAGGCACAAAACCUGUCGCUGGUCGCACAGUAUCGUUCAUCGACCCGAUACUUUCCCUACUAUGCACAUUCUCCUCUCUCAUCCCACUAAGUUGACUAAACGGGGGAGGAGAAACUGAAUCGACCGUGCUAUAGGUUUCAUCGCGAGCCAGAGGAAUACUAGCCCUAGCUGGUUGGUUGGAUUCUGCUCGGAUUUGCCUAUCGGAAAUUAGAGGAGAAUACAUCAUCUGCUGUCUAGAGCAUUCCUUAUAAGGCGGUUUAUGCGAUCUUCUUCCUCUUUACUGGAGUAAGCCAUAGUUUAUCUGUUCAACAAUCAACAAAGAAAAUAGAUAACAACAAAACAAAGGUGGUGAGUUUGCAAAUAAAAAACACACCUAUUGGUAUUUGCAACCUAAUUUUAUAUAACGAAUCUUACGAAAACGAAAAUGUCAAAAAAAAUAAAUGAAUAAUGUAACGAUGGAAAAAAUGUGAAUUUAUAGAAACUAUAAUAAGAAAAAAAAAUGAAAAAGAUAAAUUGAAAAAACUAAAUUAAGAAAAAUAAAUUAAUCAAACAAAAAAAAACAAAAUGUAAACCUAUCGAAAACUGUAUACAAAAAAAAUAAAUAAGAUAGAUAAACUGUAAACUGUAAACUUGAACUAAACAAAACCUAAUAUUGAAACAAAAAGAU